GCAAGUCUACUUGAAACUACCGCUUGCGGUAGCGGAUGGUGGCGAACGGGUGAGUAACGCGUAGACAACCUACCAUUUAAUUUGGGAUAAUUCACUGAAAAGAGGACUAAUACCAAAUGUGUUCUUAUGAUGGCAUCAUCUUAAGAAAAAAGAUUACGGUCGUUAAAUGAUGGGUCUGCGUAUCAUUAGUUAGUUGGUAAGGUAACGGCUUACCAAGACAUCGAUGAUUAGCUGGUCUGAGAGGAUGAUC
RNAcentral lists this ribosomal RNA (250 nucleotides) under uncultured bacterium. Its description in RNAcentral is "partial 16S ribosomal RNA". It matches the Rfam family "Bacterial small subunit ribosomal RNA", at positions 57 to 305 of the family's 1533-position model. The record is from RNAcentral.